ACUUGUCAUGUUCGGUGGCAUGUGUCUAUAGUCCCAGCUACUCAGGAGGUUGAGGCAGGAGGGUCAAUUGAUCCCAGGAGUUCUGAGCUAUAGUGCUGUAUGCUUAUGGGGUGUCCACACUAAGUUCAACAUCAGUAUGGUGACCUCCCAGGAGCAGGACCACCAGAUUGCCUAAGGAGGGGUGAACCAGCCCAGGUCAGAAAGGCAGCAGGUCAAAACUCCUACGCUGGCUGGCUCAGUAGCUUGCACCCGUACUCCCAGCUACUCAGGAAGCUGAGGAAAGAGAUCUCUU
Molecule: unclassified non-coding RNA, 292 nt
Organism: Pan paniscus (pygmy chimpanzee)
Lineage: Eukaryota; Metazoa; Chordata; Mammalia; Primates; Hominidae
Rfam family: Metazoan signal recognition particle RNA
About the family: The signal recognition particle (SRP) is a universally conserved ribonucleoprotein. It is involved in the co-translational targeting of proteins to membranes.
Source: Ensembl